CCUACGGGUGGCAGCAGUGGGGAAUAUUGGACAAUGGGGGGAACCCUGAUCCAGCCAUGCCGCGUGUGUGAAGAAGGCCCUCGGGUGGUAAAGCACUUUCAGUGAGGAAGAACGCCUGGUGGUUAAUACCCAUCAGGAAAGACAUCACUCACAGAAGAAGCACCGGCUAACUCCGUGCCAGCAGCCGCGGUAAUACGGAGGGUGCGAGCGUUAAUCGGAAUUACUGGGCGUAAAGCGCGCGUAGGUGGCUUGAUAAGCCGGUUGUGAAAGCCCCGGGCUCAACCUGGGAACGGCAUCCGGAACUGUCAAGCUAGAGUGCAGGAGAGGAAGGUAGAAUUCCCGGUGUAGCGGUGAAAUGCGUAGAGAUAGGGAGGAAUACCAGUGGCGAAGGCGGCCUUCUGGACUGACACUGACACUGAGGUGCGAAAGCGUGGGUAGCAAACAGGAUUAGAUACCCCAGUAGUC
This 465-nucleotide ribosomal RNA is filed under the name Vreelandella stevensii. RNAcentral describes it as "partial 16S ribosomal RNA". It matches the Rfam family "Bacterial small subunit ribosomal RNA", at positions 338 to 795 of the family's 1533-position model. Lineage: Bacteria; Pseudomonadati; Pseudomonadota; Gammaproteobacteria; Oceanospirillales; Halomonadaceae. The record is from RNAcentral.